GAUGAACGCUGGCGGCGUACCUAAUACAUGCAAGUCGAGCGAACGGACGAGGAGCUUGCUUCUCUGAUGUUAGCGGCGGACGGGUGAGUAACACGUGGAUAACCUACCUAUAAGACUGGGAUAACUUCGGGAAACCGGAGCUAAUACCGGAUAAUAUUUUGAACCGCAUGGUUCAAAAGUGAAAGACGGUCUUGCUGUCACUUAUAGAUGGAUCCGCGCUGCAUUAGCUAGUUGGUAAGGUAACGGCUUACCAAGGCAACGAUGCAUAGCCGACCUGAGAGGGUGAUCGGCCACACUGGAACUGAGACACGGUCCAGACUCCUACGGGAGGCAGCAGUAGGGAAUCUUCCGCAAUGGGCGAAAGCCUGACGGAGCAACGCCGCGUGAGUGAUGAAGGUCUUCGGAUCGUAAAACUCUGUUAUUAGGGAAGAACAUAUGUGUAAGUAACUGUGCACAUCUUGACGGUACCUAAUCAGAAAGCCACGGCUAACUACGUG
Molecule: ribosomal RNA, 497 nt
Filed under: uncultured bacterium
Lineage: Bacteria
Description: partial 16S ribosomal RNA
Rfam family: Bacterial small subunit ribosomal RNA
Source: RNAcentral